RNAcentral lists this ribosomal RNA (499 nucleotides) under uncultured bacterium. RNAcentral describes it as "partial 16S ribosomal RNA". It matches the Rfam family "Bacterial small subunit ribosomal RNA", at positions 28 to 507 of the family's 1533-position model. The record is from RNAcentral.
GACGAACGCUGGCGGCGUGCCUAAUACAUGCAAGUCGAGCGAAGUUUUUCUGGUGCUUGCACUAGAAAAACUUAGCGGCGAACGGGUGAGUAACACGUAAAGAACCUGCCUCAUAGACUGGGACAACUAUUGGAAACGAUAGCUAAUACCGGAUAACAGUAUUUCUCGCAUGAGAGAUAUUUAAAAGUUGGUUAUGCUAACACUAUGAGAUGGCUUUGCGGUGCAUUAGCUAGUUGGUGGGGUAAAGGCCCACCAAGGCGACGAUGCAUAGCCGACCUGAGAGGGUGAUCGGCCACACUGAGACUGAGACACGGCCCAGACUCCUACGGGAGGCAGCAGUAGGGAAUCUUCCGUAAUGGGCGAAAGCCUGACGGAGCAACGCCGCGUGAGUGAAGAAGGAUUUCGGUUCGUAAAGCUCUGUUGUUAGGGAAGAAUGGAUAUGUAGUAACUAUACAUGUAAGAGACGGUACCUAACCAGAAAGCCACGGCUAACUACGUG